Molecule: ribosomal RNA, 466 nt
Filed under: uncultured bacterium
Lineage: Bacteria
Description: partial 16S ribosomal RNA
Rfam family: Bacterial small subunit ribosomal RNA
Source: RNAcentral
GACGAACGCUGGCGGCGUGCUUAACACAUGCAAGUCGAACGGAAAGGCCCUGCUUGCAGGGUACUCGAGCGGCGAACGGGUGAGUAACACGUGGGUGAUCUGCUCUUCACUUCGGGAUAAGCCUGGGAAACUGGGUCUAUUACCGGUUAGGAGCCAUUUUUAGUGUGAUGGUUGGAAAGUUUUUUUGGGUGUAGGUUGAGCUCGCGGCCUAUCAGCUUGUUGUGGGGGUAAUGGCUUACCAAGGCGGCGUCGGGUAGCCGGCCUGAGAGGUUGUACGUCGACACUGGGACUGAGGUGAGGCCCAGACUCCUAAGGGAGGCAGCAGGGGGGAAGAUUGAACAAUGGGCGCAAGCAUGAUGAAGCGACGCCGCGUGGGGGAUGACGGCCUUCGGGUGGUAAACUCCUUGCGAGAGGGAAGAAGCUUGUUGUGACGGUACCUAGAUAAGAAGCACCGGCUAACUACGUG